CCUACGGGAGGCAGCAGUGGGGAAUAUUGGACAAUGGGCGCAAGCCUGAUCCAGCCAUACCGCGUGGGUGAAGAAGGCCUUCGGGUUGUAAAGCCCUUUUGUUGGGAAAGAAAUCCUAUCGGUUAAUAACCGGUGGGGAUGACGUACCCAAAGAGAAGAUCUGCUA
This 166-nucleotide ribosomal RNA is filed under the name uncultured Stenotrophomonas sp. RNAcentral describes it as "partial 16S ribosomal RNA". It matches the Rfam family "Bacterial small subunit ribosomal RNA", at positions 338 to 499 of the family's 1533-position model. The record is from RNAcentral. Lineage: Bacteria; Pseudomonadati; Pseudomonadota; Gammaproteobacteria; Lysobacterales; Lysobacteraceae.